This 320-nucleotide ribosomal RNA is filed under the name uncultured eukaryote. Its description in RNAcentral is "partial 18S ribosomal RNA". It matches the Rfam family "Eukaryotic small subunit ribosomal RNA", at positions 1470 to 1796 of the family's 1831-position model. The record is from RNAcentral.
CCCCUAGAUGUUCUGGGCCGCACGCGCGCUACACUGAACAGUUCAACAAGUCUUAACCUUGGCCGAUAGGUCUGGGUAAUCUUUGAACGCUGUUCGUGAUUGGGAUAGACCUUUGCAAUUAUGGGACUUCAACGAGGAAUUCCUAGUAAACGCAAGUCAUCAGCUUGCAUUGAUUACGUCCCUGCCCUUUGUACACACCGCCCGUCGCACCUACCGAUUGAAUGGUCCGGUGAAAUCUCGGGACGGCGGCUUGGUCGCUUGCGUCCGACUGCUGAAACUUGAUUAAACCAUAUCAUUUAGAGGAAGGUGAAGUCGUANCA